UCGCAUCCGCCAACCGGUUCAGCCGUGUCGCGGAAGGUUUUACCAACCAGCUAAUGCUUCCCGCAGGGAAGCGGAGGUCAGCG
Molecule: non-coding RNA, 83 nt
Filed under: Paracidovorax citrulli AAC00-1
Lineage: Bacteria; Pseudomonadati; Pseudomonadota; Betaproteobacteria; Burkholderiales; Comamonadaceae
Description: sucA.2008-01-16 RNA
Rfam family: SucA RNA motif
Source: RNAcentral